GCCCCGCGCUCCAGCGGCCGAGCGCGUGCGGCCGCCGAGCACAUGGGCCCGCGGGCCGGGCGGACUCGGGCGGCCUGGACCGGGAGGAACAGCGAGGGGCGGCGAGCGAGGCUGGGUCCCGGCACGCCCCCGGAGCCCCCCGAGUGGAUUUCCACGCGGAAAGGAUGGUGGCCGUCCGGGUGACCUGCGGAGACACGGCCGGAUCCACCUUCCAGCCUGAUCUUUUGAUCAGGGAGGAAUUCAAAAGAAUGCCCCCUUGUGAUGGCUGCGCUGUCAAGUACAUGGAGCUUCCCUCGAGGAUUUUCUGAGCCUUGUGGAUGUACCGUGAGCCUCGCUGCCUGGGGAGUAAGGCGGCGGAAGCAGUCUCUGGGGGGACCCAUGCCCGCAGCAUUUCUGGAUGCUAAAGGUGGCUUUAAGGAAGGCCCAGCUGAGUGCCUCGUGGAUUCCUGCAGCCUGGAUGCCUGCGGGGGACAGAAGACCGAUGCUUCCUGCCCUCAUCACCCAGGAAUGUCGGGAGGGGGCUCCGCCAAUUCCCUGAAGGGCUCCCAGUGAAACAAAUGGUGCCACCCUUGGUUGAUCAGCUGGGGCUGAGAGGAGAAGGCGAUGAUGGAAUGCGAGUGAAGCUCAACAUCUCAGCAUUUUCCAGGAGCAAUAAACCUUCCUGUGAUGGCUGUGGUGUAAUCUGAAAAAAAGCAGAUCCGUUCAGAACUCCAGAAGGACUUGAAAACUGUCCUGCCCCGAACGAAAGCUGGAAUAUCGUGGGCUUUGAUGAACCAAGGAAAAGUGCCUUCAUCAGGACGCAGCAGUAAGCCUGCUGACUACUUAAGCCCUGCCUAGGUUCCUAGGAAAUGGGCAGGAAAAGUGCCUGCCACCUGCUGCUUGCUGGUGUGCUGUUUUGGCAGCAGGAGCUGUGGGAACACACAGGGGCAGGAGAACAAACACAUUACACACGAGGACUUCCAUCCUCCAGCCAGCAAGGUGCCGACACCUCACACUUGACACCUGCUGAGCGCCCUACUGUGUGCCCCGCCCCCCUGAACGAGGCAGCCUCGGAGCUUGGAUCCUAGUUGGAGAGACAGGCAAUUAGCAGGAUGGCAGAUCCACAUCCAGGAUCCUGGGAAGCACUUGACAGAGGGGAGGAGCCCAGCAAUAACACUGACCAAAGAGAAGUGAAUCCUUUUGCCCAGUGACUGGAAGACACAAGAAAGUGGUGGGGGGUGGGAGGCAGGGGGGAAGGAGCCUGGCACCUUGCCACGCUUCCCCUGUAAGGAGCACACACCCUCUCCCCCACCCCCUCCCCCCAAACACAUAAUACCUUUUAACUGGUGAUUUGGUCACUGCUGUGCUAUCUUCAUUGAAUGUGGUUUUGAGAGAAUGGUUGGUCUGGAAAUUUUAUUUUCAAUUAAACUUCCUUGUGGAACU
RNAcentral lists this long non-coding RNA (1422 nucleotides) under Sus scrofa (pig). RNAcentral describes it as "lncRNA (ENSSSCG00060014829.1)". The stretch from base 35 to 214 matches the Rfam family "Pvt1 oncogene conserved region 1". The record is from RNAcentral. Lineage: Eukaryota; Metazoa; Chordata; Mammalia; Artiodactyla; Suidae.